RNAcentral lists this ribosomal RNA (486 nucleotides) under uncultured bacterium. RNAcentral's name for it is "partial 16S ribosomal RNA". It matches the Rfam family "Bacterial small subunit ribosomal RNA", at positions 28 to 507 of the family's 1533-position model. The record is from RNAcentral.
GAUGAACGCUGGCGGCGUGCCUAAUACAUGCAAGUCGAACGCUGGAAAUCUAGCUUGCUAGAUUGAAGGAGUGGCGAACAGGUGAGUAAUACAUAAGCAACCUACCCACGAAGACUGGGAUAAUCUCUGGAAACGGGGACUAAUACCGGAUAGGUAAUCGGAAGGCAUCUUCUGAUUAUUAAAGGUUAAAAACACUGGUGGAUGGGCUUAUGGCGCAUUAGUUAGUUGGUGAGGUAACGGCCCACCAAGACGAUGAUGCGUAGCCGGCCUGAGAGGGUGAACGGCCACAUUGGGACUGAGACACGGCCCAGACUCCUACGGGAGGCAGCAGUAGGGAAUUUUCGGCAAUGGGGGAUACCCUGACCGAGCCACGCCGCGUGAGUGAUGACGGCCUUCGGGUUGUAAAGCUCUGUUGUAAGGGAAGAACGGUAGAUAGAGAAUAUAUAAAUGACGGUACCUUACCAGAAAGCCACGGCUAACUACGUG